Molecule: transfer RNA, 68 nt
Filed under: Phthorimaea operculella (potato tuberworm)
Lineage: Eukaryota; Metazoa; Arthropoda; Insecta; Lepidoptera; Gelechiidae
Description: tRNA-Glu
Source: RNAcentral
AUUUAUAUAGUUUAUUUAAAACAUUACAUUUUCAUUGUAAAAAUAAAAUAUUUAAAUUUUUAUAAAUA